RNAcentral lists this unclassified non-coding RNA (391 nucleotides) under soil metagenome. RNAcentral describes it as "partial contains 5.8S ribosomal RNA, internal transcribed spacer 2, and large subunit ribosomal RNA". The stretch from base 1 to 122 matches the Rfam family "5.8S ribosomal RNA", at positions 35 to 154 of the family's 154-position model. The record is from RNAcentral.
GAUGAAGAACGUAGCGAAAUGCGAUACUUGGUGUGAAUUGCAGAAUCCCUUGAACCAUCGAGUCUUUGAACGCAAGUUGCGCCCGAAGCCAUUAGGCCGAGGGCACGCCUGCCUGGGCGUCACACGUCGUUGCCCCCCCAUCUACUCCUUCGGGAUUGCGGGGGGCGGAUGAUGGCCUCUCGUGCGCCUCGUCGCGCGGUUGGCCUAAAUGCCAAGUCCUCGGCGACGCACGCCACGACAAUCGGUGGUUGCGAAACCUCGGUUGCCUGUCGUGUGCGGUCGUCGCGCAUCGAGGGCUCGAAAAAAUUGCCGGGCUUCGGCUCGACUUUCAACGCGACCCCAGGUCAGGCGGGGUUACCCGCUGAAUUUAAGCAUAUCAAUAAGCGGAGGA